This 460-nucleotide ribosomal RNA is filed under the name uncultured bacterium. RNAcentral's name for it is "partial 16S ribosomal RNA". It matches the Rfam family "Bacterial small subunit ribosomal RNA", at positions 338 to 795 of the family's 1533-position model. The record is from RNAcentral.
CCUACGGGUGGCAGCAGUGAGGAAUAUUGGUCAAUGGGCGCGAGCCUGAACCAGCCAAGUAGCGUGAAGGAUGACUGCCCUACGGGUUGUAAACUUCUUUUAUAAAGGAAUAAAGUGAGGCACGAGUGCCUUUUUGUAUGUACUUUAUGAAUAAGGAUCGGCUAACUCGGUGCCAGCAGCCGCGGUAAUACGGAGGAUACGAGCGUUAUCCGGAUUUAUUGGGUUUAAAGGGAGCGUAGAUGGGUUGUUAAGUCAGUUGUGAAAGUGUGCGGCUCAACCGUAAAAUUGCAAUUAAUACUGGCAGUCUUGAGUACAGGAGAGGUAGGCGGAAUUCGUGGUGUAGCGGUGAAAUGCUUAGAUAGCACGAAGAACUUCGAUGGCGAAGGCAGCUUACUAAACUGCCACUGACAUUGAUGAUCGAAAGUGUGGGUAGCAAACAGGAUUAGAUACCCGAGUAGUC